Molecule: unclassified non-coding RNA, 348 nt
Filed under: soil metagenome
Description: partial contains 5.8S ribosomal RNA, internal transcribed spacer 2, and large subunit ribosomal RNA
Rfam family: 5.8S ribosomal RNA (bases 1-120)
Source: RNAcentral
GAUGAAGAACGUAGCGAAACGCGAUAAGUAAUGUGAAUUGCAGAAUUCAGUGAAUCAUCGAAUCUUUGAACGCACAUUGCGCCCGCUGGUAUUCCGGCGGGCAUGCCUGUUCGAGCGUCAUUUCAACCCUCAAGCCCCCGGGUUUGGUGUUGGGGAUCGGCUCUGCCCUUCUGGGCGGUGCCGCCCCCGAAAUACAUUGGCGGUCUCGCUGCAGCCUCCAUUGCGUAGUAGCUAACACCUCGCAACUGGAACGCGGCGCGGCCAUGCCGUAAAACCCCAACUUCUGAAUGUUGACCUCGGAUCAGGUAGGAAUACCCGCUGAACUUAAGCAUAUCAAUAAGCGGAGGA